Molecule: small nucleolar RNA, 139 nt
Organism: Cynocephalus volans (Philippine flying lemur)
Lineage: Eukaryota; Metazoa; Chordata; Mammalia; Dermoptera; Cynocephalidae
Product: small nucleolar RNA SNORA3/SNORA45 family
Exons: 1
Source: RefSeq, a predicted model, not a curated record
GCUGAGACUAGAGUCACAUCCCAAUACAGCCCUUGUCUUGGUGUGCUAGAGUCCUCAGAGAGAAUCUGUUGCUCUUGAUUCACUGGUGGGGGGUGGGGGGCACUCAGUGCCCCUGUUAGUGCCCAGAUCAGAAAUAUGG